GAUGAACGCUGGCGGCGUGCCUAAUACAUGCAAGUCGAGCGAACGGACGAGAAGCUUGCUUCUCUGAUGUUAGCGGCGGACGGGUGAGUAACACGUGGAUAACCUACCUAUAAGACUGGGAUAACUUCGGGAAACCGGAGCUAAUACCGGAUGAUAUUUUGAACCUCAUGGUUCAAAAGUGAAAGACGGUCUUGCUGUCACUUAUAGAUGGAUCCGCGCUGCAUUAGCUAGUUGGUAAGGUAACGGCUUACCAAGGCAACGAUGCAUAGCCGACCUGAGAGGGUGAUCGGCCACACUGGAACUGAGACACGGUCCAGACUCCUACGGGAGGCAGCAGUAGGGAAUCUUACGCAAUGGGCGAAAGCCUGACGGAGCAACGCCGCGUGAGUGAUGAAGGUCUUCGGAUCGUAAAACUCUGUUAUUAGGGAAGAACAUAUGUGUAAGUAACUGUGCACAUCUUGACGGUACCUAAUCAGAAAGCCACGGCUAACUACGUG
Molecule: ribosomal RNA, 497 nt
Filed under: uncultured bacterium
Lineage: Bacteria
Description: partial 16S ribosomal RNA
Rfam family: Bacterial small subunit ribosomal RNA
Source: RNAcentral